This 5207-nucleotide long non-coding RNA is filed under the name Vigna radiata. Its description in RNAcentral is "long non-coding RNA (VRAD_LNC008136)". The record is from RNAcentral. Lineage: Eukaryota; Viridiplantae; Streptophyta; Magnoliopsida; Fabales; Fabaceae.
CAGAAUACGCAACUGAAUAGAGAAUAGUUGUAUAAAAGUGUGGGUAUAUUAUUUACUGUGUUGACAAGUGUAACACACGUGUCUAGAGAGCCUAACCUCCCUCCACCGAGUAAACCCUCGGUCUAUACAAAUAUGUAUUUCUCUAGAUAAUCCUCCAAUGCAAUGCUUAUUCCCUUUUAUACCCAUAUACUUUCCUUUUCCUAACUGCUGAGGCAGUUAGGAAUUUCUACUCCCUACUCUCUCUCUUCUUCCUUUGCACAUACACCUUCUACCCUCUAACAUUACCCUCAUCCUGAAGAUCAACCUUGUCCCCAAGGUUGAAUUCUGGGAACUGCUCUUGAAUAGCAACCAUGUCUUCCCAUGUGGCACCAUCCACUCCUCCUUCAUUCUCAUUCUAUCAACAUUUGUUCUCUUGUUUCCUCUUCUUUCUACUGUUGUUUUCUGUCCAGCACCCGUAUUGGCCAAUAAGUAGGACCCUCCAUCUGCAAAUCAGCUGUAGCUCCUUUUGCUACACUCUUCGCUCCAAUCGCUAUCUUCAACUGUGAUGCAUGGAAUACGGGAUGAAUCCUAGCAGUGUCAGGAAGCAGCAGACGGAAGGCAACCUCCCCCACCUGUUGCACCACUUUAAAAGGCCCGUAAUAUCUUGCGGCUAGUUUUGGGUGUAUCCUGGUUGGCAUGGAGGAUUGUCUGUGAGGCCGAAUUUUAUCCCCCACCUUAAUUGUCACCUUUUUUCUGUGGCGAUUUGCCUAUUUGGUCAUAACAUCUUGGGCUCUAGUUAAAUGAAACUUCAGCUGCUUAAGAGCCUCAUCCCUAGUAUGCAAAUCUUGUGCCACUGCCUCCACCAAAGUUUCCNCCGGUAUAAAUCUGAUUAAGGUUGGAGGUGCUCGUCCAUAAACCGUUUCGAAAGGCGUGCAUUUUCCUGCUCCUUGAUAACUGGUGUUGUACUAGUAUUCUGCCCAUAGCAGUAUAGCACUUCACCCUUUAGGUUGUUCCGAACAGAAACACCUUAAGUAACCCUUCAACACUCGAUUUAAUACCUCUGUUUGUCCAUCCGACUCCGGAUGAUAUGCAGUGCUCAUUUGAAGGUGUGUCCCCUGUAGCUUAAACAACUCUUUCCAGAACAAACUUAAGAAUAAAGGGUCCCUGUCACUUACUAUCGAUUUGGGCACGCCAUGCAACUUUACUACUUCUUUCACAAAUUCUUCUGCCACGGCACGGGCUGUAUAAGGGUGCUUCAAGGGAAUGAAAUGACCGUAUUUGCUGAGACGGUCUCCUAUAACCAAAACUACAUCAUAUCCCUAGGAUUUUGGGAGUUUCACAAUGAAAUCCAUACUGAUUUCCUCCCAUAUGGCUUGGGGAAUCGGAAGAGGCUGCAGUAAUCCUUGUGGUGAUGUUGUUAAAUACUUAUGCUGCUGGCACACCACACAUUGAGCCACAUAAUCUGUUACUGCUUUCUUCAUACCCUUCCAGUAUAUGGAUUGUGCCACCCGCCUAUAAGUUCGAUAUAUUCCAGAAUGUCCACCUAUGGAUGAUGUAUGCAUUUCAGCCAGUAUCGUGGGGAUCCAUUUGGAUUUAGUAGACAGCACUAACCUGCCUUUAUGAUGCAGUCUUCCCCCUUCCAGAGUAUAAGCCGAAUGUUUAUCCGGGUCCCCUGUGAUAUCUGCCACAAUCUUCUUGAGUUCUUCAUCCUCUUCCACUUCUUCCAAGAUCUCCUGGAAGUCUUUCCAAUAAGGUCUAGCUAUCACCCGCAACUCCUUUUCCUCCAACUUUUCAUCUAACUCUUCCUUCUCUGUCGUGGCUUCCAGCCCUUUCCGUGACAAGGCAUCCGCCACUUUGUUCAUAGCCCCAGCCUUGUAUAGGAUAUCAAAGUCGUAGCCUAAUAGUUUAGCAAUCCAAUUUUGCUAAUUCUGGGUGGUUAUUCUUUGUUCCAACAAAUACUUCAAACUUCUUUGAUCAGAAUGCACCACGAAUUUUUGGCCUAUGAGAUAUGGUCGCCAAUGCUGGAUAGCUAACACCAAGGCCAUGAGUUCUUUCUCAUAUAUGGAUUUGCUUAAGGUUCCUUCUGANAGAGCUUUGCUAAAGAAAGCUAUAGGUCGCCUAUUUUGUGUCAAAACUACUCCCACUCCAACCCUGAUGCAUCACACUCAACAUGAAAAGGUUGGGUGAAAUCAGGCAAGGCUAACACAGGGGCAGUUGUGAUAGCUAUUUUUAACUUCUCCAUUGCUUCUCUAGCCGAGUUGGUCCAUGCAAAGUUUCCCUUCUUCAACAUGUCAGUGAGGGGGCGAGCAAGUUUACCAUAGUUUCUUACAAAUCUCCGAUAAUAGCCAGUUAAACCCAAAAAUCCUCUCAAGGCUUUAAUAGUUUUGGGUUCCUCCCAUCCCAUGAUAGCCUCCACUUUUCCCCAUCCAUUUCUAUCCCUUUCUCCGAUAUAAUGUGGCCCAAGUAUCUGAUAUGAGUUCUCCCAAAUUCGCUUUUCUUGGGAUUGGCUACCCACUGAUGUUGCUGCAACAAACUUAAUAUACACCUUACAUGUUCUAAGUGAUCUUCCCACGAGCUACUGUAUAUCAAAAUAUCAUCAAAAAACACUAGGACAAACUUCCUCAAGUGCGAUCUCAACAACUCAUUCAUUGCACUUUGGAAUGUGGCAGGGGCAUUGGUAAGCCCGAAGGGCAUCACCAAGAAUUCGUAAUGCCCCUAGUGUGUCCUAAAAGCAGUUUUUUGGAUAUCCUCCCCUCCCAUUCGAAUCUGAUGAUACCCAACUUUGAGGUCUAUUUUGGAGAAGAACUUUGCACCCCUCAAUUCAUCAAGCAACUCCUCUAUCACAGGUAUAGGGAACUUGUCCGGUAUAGUGGCUCUAUUGAGAGCCCUAUAAUCUAUGCAGAAACGCCAACUCCCAUCUUUCUUCUUGACUAGUAUGACCGGACUAGAAUACGGGCUAGUACUAUGCCGGAUAAUUCCCAUUCUCAACAUUUCUUCCACUUGCUUCUCAAUUUCCCCUUUUAAUAAGUGAGGGUAUCUGUAUGGUCGCACAUUGACGGGACCUAUCCCUUCCUUCAAUAUGAUUUUGUUCUCCAUCCCACGUUCUGGAGGUAACCCGUAAGGCUCCAGGAACACCUGCUGAAAUUCAGACAGCAAUUCUUCCAACUCUUCUUGUUGUCUCCCUGUCAACUCCUGUUCCUUUUCUCCUCUUCCAUCCAGACCCAUAUGUCUUAGCCCCCACAUUACUGUCACUGAUUCAACUUCAAUUAUUUUAAGCAAGGCCGCAGGGGCUAUCACUUCUCGUGCUAACGUUGGAUCUCCUUUAAUUAUUACUUCCUUUCUUCCUUGUUUAAAGGACAUGGUUAAUUUACUCCAAUUGGUCAUUACUUCUCCCAGCUUUGCCAUCCAAUCUACUCCCAGAAUCACAUCGACACCUCCUAAUUCGAACACGUGAUAUUGCUCUGCAAUCUCCACUCCACCCAGCUGUAUCACUAUCCCUUGGCAGCAUUCGUGAGUCCGUUUUCGCUGCCCAUCACCCAAGCAAACUGGAUGCGUCUGGUCUUUGUUCAUCUCCAGUUGAAGCUCCUCCACCAGCGCCUUUGAUAUAAAGUUGUGGCUGGCACCACUAUCCACCAUUAUCAAUACCACCCUNUCCCCCAAGCUCCCUUGAAGUUUCAUGGUUCUCGGUUGGGUCAUCCCACCUGCAGAGAGCGGUGAUAAUUCUAAUCGCUCCAUCUCCAACUCCUUUUUGGUUUCUCCUAGAUCGUCCUCCUCGUCUUCCCCUAAAAUUGUCACUCGCAAACUCCGUUCUGGACAUCGAUGUCCAGGACCGAACUGGCCGUCACAUCUGAAACAACGGCCUUCUUCACGACGCUUAAGAUACUCGUGGUAGGGAAGGUUUGGCACCCCUCUGCCCAUGGUUUCGUUCCCCACUGCACUCGCACUUCUUCCCGAACUACCUUCUCCUCCCCUAGAUCCUAUACUCUCUGCACCCGCCGCUCGUCCUCAUUGAUUGCGAAUCGAGUCAACUCGAAUUAUCGCCCCCGCAGUUCGCCCCCCAGAUAUCUGUGAUCGACUCGCAUUUCCACCCCCAGUCUUCGUUCCUCCUGGUAUAAUCUCUACAACUUUUGCGAUUCGCAUCGCCGCUAGUAGUUCCUGCGGAUUGUGUGGACGUAUAAGAUCCCUUACGCUGUCCUGUAAUCCGGCUAAGAAAUAGCCUAGUUGUUGCUCGUCCGUCAACCCCUUCGUUUGCCCCACCAGGAUUUCGAAGUCGCGUAUAUAUUCAUCAGCUGUACCUGUUUGACGGUUCGCCGUCAAUCUUUCAAAAAUGGUCCCUCUGCUUCGCUCCCCAAAUCUUCCAAUCAUCGCCUCUUUGAGCCCUUCCCAUGUGUGGUCUCUCGCCUUCUCUCUCCAAAAUCGAUACCAAUAGCCAGCACUCCCCUCCAUGCUGACGUAUGUGAUUCAGACCUUCUCCUCCUCCAUCACUCCCUGUAAUUCGAAGAACCACUCCGAACGAUUGAUCUAGUUCAAUGGAUUUGUGCCUUCGAAUACGAGAAGUUCUACUUUCUUUCUCCAAUUAAAUUGUCCCUCCGCCAGUUCUGUCUCUCGUCCUCCGUUCUCCUCCUCUCGUCUCCCUCUCCGGUCACCAUUCACCGACGCCUGGCUCCCGUCUGAUGCCCCCUCGUGGUCGCGAUUGCGACCUCCCAAAAUGCGCAUAACCUCUUGAAGGUCUUGGCGAAUGGCAGCUGAAUAUUGUCUCAUCGCUGCCGUUUCAACUUUCAACCCCUCUACAGUAAUCCCCAAAGCUUCGAGCUGGUUCUCAACCACCUUAAGGCGUCCUUCAUUUUUCCCCUCCAUAACUCCGAUCAAUCGCUACCAGGGAUCCGGCAGGUCAGACCACUUGAUAGAGAUCUUAAUGAUAAUCCCUAACCAACUCACUCACACACUCACAGAAUACGCAACAGAAUAGAGAAUAGCUGUAUAAAAGUGUGGGUAUAUUAUUUACUGUGUUGACAAGUGUAACACACGUGUCUAGAGAGCCUAACCUCCCUCCACCGAGUAAACCCUCGGUCUAUACAAAUAUGUAUUUCUCUAUAUAAUCCUCCAAUGCAAUACUUAUUCCCUUUUAUACCCAUAUACCCCGCCUUUUCCUAACUGCAGAGGGAGUUAGGAAUUUCUACUCCCUACUCUCUCUCUCUUCUUCCUUCGCACGUACACCUUCCACCCUC